GGGAGCAAAGUCGUUUAAUGAGAUAGGAUGAGCACACGAGUCGGUUUUAUUCUGACUGAUUAAUAAACGCGACUAGACUAUCGUAGACAGAUUGGGUAAUCGAUGGAAGGGCUCGGAUGGAAGGCGAAGCAGUUUAUCUUCUCAGGGAGUUCUGUACAUUUAGUUGGUGUGAUUAGUUCUUUUAAGAGAAUUUUUACUGAAUUUGACUAUAGGCAUAGGUAACUUAACUUUAAGUAUUAUGUUGGCGUUAUACUAUGGCGCGUUGCAUAUAUUUUGUCAAGCUUUCGAAUCUUGAAAUCUUUGUAAUAUUUUUAUGUUAGAAUAGAUCCAGUUAGUUGUGAUUAUACGUCAUAUGUCUAUAUGGGUUUUAGGAUGAUUUUGUACAUGAACAAUUUAUUUUUCGUGUUCAGUUUGAAUUAUCUUUCUAGUAGCCAGUAUAGCUAUUUUACUUUGGUUUGUUUGAUGGAGACUUGAAAAGCAAAGAUGAGGAUUUUUGAUGAGCGGAAAUGGGAACAGGCGUUUCGAGAGACUUUGGAGGGGUUGAGCUAUGCGGGUUGAAUGGUAAUUCGAUUGGAAACGGCGUGGAGAAGGAAAUUAGAGUAGAAAUGAUCAAGGAAGCGUUAGAUGAUCGGCAAGUGUAGGAGUUUCCUUUUCUGUUGGCCUAUUUUCUGAACAAUGUAGUUCACUGUAAUUAGACAAGGCUUCUAUUAACCUGUUAACUGGAUAGUUUCUUUAAAUAGAAAAUUCUAUAAUUACGAAAUUAAAUAUCAAUAACAGGGACAAAUGAAUUUUAGUUAGAUCACUUUCGAGUCCUUGCAGGUAUAUGUAUAUAUGCAUAAAUAUAUGAUAUGAUCUGUUUUGCAAUAAAAAUGAAAUCAUACAUAAAAAUAGAAAAUAAGACCUUAAACUACAUAUUUUUUUCCCGUGGAAUAAGAAGUUGUAGAUAUAGAGAACUUAAUAAACUGAAUACUACGAAUCGUCUUAACGCGAAAUAAUUAACUAUGACUGGAGAGACAAACGAGAUUGAAUUGAGUGAUCAACGAUGAUAGCAAAAAGCUGUACAACGAUUCUGUUGAAAUAUGGACAACUGCUUUAUACAGAAACUAGACCUUUGUAAAUAAAACUGUAGUUACAAAAUCCGAGAUAUCCAAGUGCAUAUACCCAUUUACGUGAUCAAAAAAAUAUAUGGCAGUUUGUCACACGUGAAAGAAUACUCUGCGUGGAAAACAGAGAGGAAUGCAAUGUUGGAAGAGAAAGAGGGACGGAGAGAGUGAGAGAAAGAGAGAGAGAGAGUGGGAGAGAAACAAGCAUGCAAUUGUAUACAUAUGGCACGCCAAUGGCACGGUUGGCAAUAGAGACGGAGACAAAAUUGAGAAGGAAGCAGAACAAAGAGGAACACACAGAUUAUGCAGCGACACUGCCGGCUGUUUAAUAAGCGAUAUCGAUAAAAGUGUAAACAGAGAAAGGAAUUCGUUACCGCGAGCGAUAUACUCUUCUGUACAUUUAAAAAAUAUGUACCACGAUGAAAUGUACGUUUGUUUUUUAUCGGAUUUACACGAGGAAAAUUCACUCUCGUUUCGUAGACGCGAAGAACAAACGACUAUAAACUGAAAACGUAAUUGACAUGAUUUUCUCAUUUUACGGAAUAAUUUCGUUUUGAAUAGAACGUUUUAUUUAAGGAAUAAAUUGCAAUUAAAUUUAAAAUCAUAGGAAAUUGUUUUGAAAAGUACAACGUAACUCGAUAUAAAGAAUUAUUAUUUCCGUUUAUAGUUGAUGUUAGAUCGAUUCGUAAAAAAAAGUAAAAAGAAAUGGUCGUAUGGAAGAAGAAAACAAGGUUUUGAAAGAGUAGUUUAUGGAAAAAAUAGUAGGAAAAACACGCGCAACCGACAAGUGUUCCGCACACGCGGUUAAACAACCGUGUCGUCAUCGAGAUCCCGGACUCGUUCCAGCCGACGGACGUUACUUGGUUAUUUACGAUCGGGAAAAAACCGGAAUGCAUCGUGUCCAGCGCAUGUUACAGCAAGGACACGCGCGAAAAUUAUGAAUUAGCUGCGUGAAAUCGUUAUGACUACACUGUUAGACUGUGGAUUCCCUUCAGGACUUUGGUUCCAUCGUUAUCGUCAGCGACGUGGAAAGGGUCUUCUUUAACGAUUUUUAUGAGAUUUGUUUAUACGUUUGAACAAUACGAAAAAUAAGAGAAACGAGGGAUUGAAUCCGGAUGACCUUUAAAAAAAUAAGAAAGCUGACAUUCGUGUUUUACCAUGUGUUGUCGAGUAAAGCGAAUUCAUCAGAAAUAGGCUAAACCGUGAAAAUGUAAAGUAUAGAAAAUAAAUGCAGUUUUCUACAAUUUA
Long non-coding RNA from Bombus impatiens (common eastern bumble bee), 2351 nucleotides. RefSeq lists it as uncharacterized. Lineage: Eukaryota; Metazoa; Arthropoda; Insecta; Hymenoptera; Apidae. The record is from RefSeq and is a predicted model, not a curated record. The transcript is spliced from 2 exons.